UACGAAGGGGGCUAGCGAUGUUCGGAAUUACUGGGCGUAAAGGGCGCGUAGGCGGUCUUGUAAGUCAGAUGUGAAAGCCCCGGGCUCAACCCGGGAAUAGCAUUUGAUACUGCGAGGCUUGAGUCCGGGAGAGGAUGGCGGAAUUCCCAGUGUAGAGGUGAAAUUCGUAGAUAUUGGGAAGAACACCGGUGGCGAAGGUGGUCAUCGGGACCGGUACUGACACUGAGGCGUGAAAGCGUGGGGAGCAAACAGG
RNAcentral lists this ribosomal RNA (253 nucleotides) under uncultured bacterium. RNAcentral describes it as "partial 16S ribosomal RNA". It matches the Rfam family "Bacterial small subunit ribosomal RNA", at positions 524 to 776 of the family's 1533-position model. The record is from RNAcentral.